This 77-nucleotide transfer RNA is filed under the name Sphingomonas sp. 28-66-16. RNAcentral's name for it is "tRNA-Arg". It matches the Rfam family "tRNA". Rfam says of the family: Transfer RNA (tRNA) molecules are approximately 80 nucleotides in length. Lineage: Bacteria; Pseudomonadati; Pseudomonadota; Alphaproteobacteria; Sphingomonadales; Sphingomonadaceae. The record is from RNAcentral.
GCCCCCGUAGCUCAGCCGGAUAGAGCGACGGUUUCCUAAACCGCAGGCCGGUGGUUCGAAUCCACUCGGGGGCACCA